AAAAUGCGUAGAAUGUGGCACGCUGCAUCAUCUGAGGGAACUUCUCCCUGCAGACCUGCAGCAGCUGAAGCCUUUGAGAACCCACUCCUGCUUUAGCAAAGCUGAUCAUCCAACAACCUGAAUAACAAUUCCUUACGUGGACGAGAACAAAGGAAAUGAUGAUGAGGAACAUGUUUCUUCAUUUGCCAUUUGUUCUGCUCUGCAUGGCUGCUGUGUUUAAGGAGAUCAACGGAAUACCAACCUAUCAAGACUUCAAAAAUAGACACAUGAUCGGAAACACGGGUUUACCUGGCAACACUUACAAUGAAAAAUGUACAAUGGGGAUUGAAAACCGUGGCAUAUUCAUAACAAAUAACAACCAACAAGAAUGUAAGCCAAUCAAUACAUUCAUAAUUGGUGAUGAACAAUCAAUCAAAGACAUUUGUAAAUCAAAAGAUAACAUCUCAAUAUGCAGUAGCAGGAAGUUUGACAUCAUUGUAUGUAGGAAAAAUGAUGAUGGUGUAAGGCUGGUUAGUGAAGGCUGUAAAUAUAAAGGUACUCUUCAGAAAAGGCAGGUUGUUGUUGCGUGCAAAGAUGGUUUACCAGUGCACUUUGAAAGAUUCUGCUAACUGAUUAAAUACACUGGAAAUCUUGCGAUCCAGGAUAUUACUUUAAAUAUGACAAUUAUGAGCCAUUUUAUUGUCUGUCAAAUUCAUAUAAAAUGUGCAUAAAAAUGCUUUUCUUGUGGACAUCUAUUGUAUCACCUGCUAUAAUUUGCUUUUACAGAAUCACCUGCAUGCAAUUAACAUUUCAUUCAACUUUUCAAGUUGGACAUUCAGUUUGCUCUACAGCAUCCAUAAAAAUAAACUUGCUAUGCCCUUU
Molecule: long non-coding RNA, 861 nt
Organism: Xiphophorus hellerii (green swordtail)
Lineage: Eukaryota; Metazoa; Chordata; Actinopteri; Cyprinodontiformes; Poeciliidae
Exons: 2
Source: RefSeq, a predicted model, not a curated record